GCCAGGCGUGGUGGCACAUGCCUGUAAUCCCAGCUACUCGGGAGGCUGAGGCAGGAGAAUCACUUGAACCCAGGAGUUGGAGGUUGCAGUGAGCUGAGAUCUCACCACUGCACUCCAGCCUGGGUGAUAGAGUGAGACUCUGUCUCAA
Molecule: signal recognition particle RNA, 148 nt
Filed under: Gorilla gorilla gorilla (western lowland gorilla)
Lineage: Eukaryota; Metazoa; Chordata; Mammalia; Primates; Hominidae
Description: Metazoan signal recognition particle RNA
Rfam family: Metazoan signal recognition particle RNA
About the family: The signal recognition particle (SRP) is a universally conserved ribonucleoprotein. It is involved in the co-translational targeting of proteins to membranes. The eukaryotic SRP consists of a 300-nucleotide 7S RNA and six proteins: SRPs 72, 68, 54, 19, 14, and 9.
Source: Rfam by way of RNAcentral